AUUUUCAGGUUUUUUGGAAACAACAGCUUGUCUGAUACAUGACUGCCAUCCCAAAAAAGCUAUAAACUUCUUAAUGCGCUUUAGGAAGGGAUGAAUGGGAGUUAGAUGGUUGGAUUAUUUUUAUUUAUUUAUUUAUUUGUCUUGUUUUGUAGGCUUUAGGAAGGGAUGAAUGGGAGUUUUGGUGGCCCACUCUGCAAGUUUUUAAUGAAGGAUCUAAAAUUAAGCUAGGGAAGAAAGAAGAUGAAGAAGCUGAUGAAAAAUAGCAGUACCUAUGGUAGUUAUUGCUUCUUUUAGGAAAAUGAAAAAGCUUGUCCAAGACAUUUCAUUGGUUGAGGCUGCACUUAGGACCUCGUCUCAGCUUGUUGUAAGUUCCGAUGGAAAGAAAGUGAAGCGAUUGCAUGCAUUGCCAGAUAUUGACAUCGAAGAUGCAAAAGUAUUUCUAUGAUGGCUUCUUGAUCAUUUUCACAACAAUCUGUUACGGUCA
Long non-coding RNA from Magnolia sinica, 484 nucleotides. RefSeq lists it as uncharacterized. The transcript has 5 exons. Lineage: Eukaryota; Viridiplantae; Streptophyta; Magnoliopsida; Magnoliales; Magnoliaceae. The record is from RefSeq and is a predicted model, not a curated record.